GAUGAACGCUGGCGGCGUGCCUAAUACAUGCAAGUCGAGCGAACGGACGAGAAUCUUGCUUCUCUGAUGUUAGCGGCGGACGGGUGAGUAACACGUGGAUAACCUACCUAUAAGACUGGGAUAACUUCGGGAAACCGGAGCUAAUACCGGAUGAUAUUUUGAACCGCAUGGUUCAAAAGUGAAAGACGGUCUUGCUGUCACUUAUAGAUGGAUCCGCGCUGCAUUAGCUAGUUGGUAAGGUAACGGCUUACCAAGGCAACGAUGCAUAGCCGACCUGAGAGGGUGAUCGGCCACACUGGAACUGAGACACGGUCCAGACUCCUACGGGAGGCAGCAGUAGGGAAUCUUCCGCAAUGGGCGAAAGCCUGACGGAGCCACGCCGCGUGAGUGAUGAAGGUCUUCGGAUCGUAAAACUCUGUUAUUAGGGAAGAACAUAUGUGUAAGUAACUGUGCACAUCUUGACGGUACCUAAUCAGAAAGCCACGGCUAACUACGUG
Molecule: ribosomal RNA, 497 nt
Filed under: uncultured bacterium
Lineage: Bacteria
Description: partial 16S ribosomal RNA
Rfam family: Bacterial small subunit ribosomal RNA
Source: RNAcentral